UAAGAGUGGUACAAGCUUCCCUGUCA
RNAcentral lists this non-coding RNA (26 nucleotides) under Homo sapiens (human). The record is from RNAcentral. Lineage: Eukaryota; Metazoa; Chordata; Mammalia; Primates; Hominidae.